Archocentrus centrarchus (flier cichlid) is the source of this 491-nucleotide long non-coding RNA. RefSeq lists it as uncharacterized. The record is from RefSeq and is a predicted model, not a curated record. Lineage: Eukaryota; Metazoa; Chordata; Actinopteri; Cichliformes; Cichlidae. The transcript has 5 exons.
UGAAUGAAAGUUUGAGGUCUGUAAUUUCUGCUAAGGCAGCAGCGAAGUGAUCUCUACAGUAGACAAAUGGGAAACACAGCAGAGAGAGGGGGAUGAUCUGCAGCAAAAGGCCCAAACUGGAAUCGAACCUUGGCCAGCAUGACAUGUGGUGCAUGUAAUACCAGGAGGAUGUUGGUCCUGUCAGUGCUCUCUUCUGACCUGCCAGUGGUUCAGAUGGCCUUUAUCAACUACUUUGCUGUCCUACCAGUCUACCUGUCUGAUCAGAAACCAGUCUUGUCAAGGAUAAAUAGAGCACAGUGCAGUGGAGAAUGCAGUGCUGCCAGCUUCACAGUGAUGUGCGACGGCAGCAGUUUGACUUGACAUCAGCGUUAUCAGGAGGACCUUCGUGACCUUUGCAUUAAAGACACUUAAUAUGCACACAAAGACAAGGUGUAUAUUUUACAUUCAGGGUAUGUAUGUCAUCUAACUGAAAAUUUGUUUAAUUAAUUUGU